UACGGAGGAUGCAAGCGUUAUCCGGAAUGAUUGGGCGUAAAGCGUCCGCAGGUGGCAUUUCAAGUUUGCGGUUAAAGGUUCUGGCUCAACCAGAGACAAGCCGUGAAAACUGAGAAGCUAGAGUAUGGUAGGGGCAGAGGGAAUUCCCAGUGUAGCGGUGAAAUGCGUAGAGAUUGGGAAGAACACCGGUGGCGAAAGCGCUCUGCUAGGCCAAAACUGACACUGAGGCACGAGAGCAUGGGUAGCGAACAGG
This 253-nucleotide ribosomal RNA is filed under the name uncultured bacterium. Its description in RNAcentral is "partial 16S ribosomal RNA". It matches the Rfam family "Bacterial small subunit ribosomal RNA", at positions 524 to 776 of the family's 1533-position model. The record is from RNAcentral.